Cercocebus atys (sooty mangabey) is the source of this 278-nucleotide unclassified non-coding RNA. It matches the Rfam family "Metazoan signal recognition particle RNA". From Rfam's summary of the family: The signal recognition particle (SRP) is a universally conserved ribonucleoprotein. It is involved in the co-translational targeting of proteins to membranes. The record is from Ensembl. NCBI's taxonomy places the organism in Eukaryota, Metazoa, Chordata, Mammalia, Primates, Cercopithecidae.
GCUGGGCAUGGUGGUGCAUGCCUGUAAUCUCAGCUACUCAGGAGGCUGAGGCAGGAGAAUCGCUUGAACCCGGGAGGCAGAGUUUGCAGUGAGCCAAGAUUGCACCACUGCACUCCAGCCUGGGUGACAGAGCGAAACUCCACCUCAAAAAAAAAUAAAACUACCUAAGACUGGAUAAUUUGAGACAGGGUAUCACUCUGUCACCUAGGCGUGAGUGCAGUGGGAUCACUGCUCACUGCAGCCUCAACUUCCUGGGCUCAAGCAAUCCUCCUGCCUCA